RNAcentral lists this ribosomal RNA (400 nucleotides) under uncultured bacterium. RNAcentral describes it as "bacterial SSU rRNA". It matches the Rfam family "Bacterial small subunit ribosomal RNA", at positions 29 to 421 of the family's 1533-position model. The record is from RNAcentral.
AACGAACGCUGGCGGCGUGCUUAACACAUGCAAGUCGAACGGGUUUAUUGGAUGUAGCAAUACAUUCAAUAGAUUAGUGGCGCACGGGUGAGUAACACGUAGGCAACCUACCCUUCAGUGGGGGACAACAGAGGGAAACUUCUGCUAAUACCGCGUACGACCUACGGGUGAAAGCAGGGGAUCUUCGGACCUUGCGCGAUUGAAUGAGCCGAUGCCCGAUUAGCUAGUUGGCGGGGUAAGAGCCCACCAAGGCGACGAUGGCUAGGGGGUCUGAGAGGAUGGUCCCCCACACUGGUACUGAGACACGGACCAGACUCCUACGGGAGGCAGCAGUGAGGAAUAUUGGUCAAUGGGCGGAAGCCUGAACCAGCCAUGCCGCGUGCAGGAUGACGGCCCUACG